Molecule: ribosomal RNA, 468 nt
Filed under: uncultured bacterium
Lineage: Bacteria
Description: partial 16S ribosomal RNA
Rfam family: Bacterial small subunit ribosomal RNA
Source: RNAcentral
GACGAACGCUGGCGGCGUGCUUAACACAUGCAAGUCGAACGGUGAAGCUCCAGCUUGCUGGAGUGGAUCAGUGGCGAACGGGUGAGUAACACGUGAGCAACCUGCCCCUGACUCUGGAAUAAGCGCUGGAAACGGCGUCUAAUACUGGAUACGAGAAGGGUCCGCAUGGGCACUUUCUGGAAAGUUUUUCGGUUGGGGAUGGGCUCGCGGCCUAUCAGCUUGUUGGUGAGGUAAUGGCUCACCAAGGCGACGACGGGUAGCCGGCCUGAGAGGGCGACCGGCCACACUGGGACUGAGACACGGCCCAGACUCCUACGGGAGGCAGCAGUGGGGAAUAUUGCACAAUGGGCGAAAACCUGAUGCAGCGACGCCGCGUGAGGGAUGACGGCCUUCGGGUUGUAAACCUCUUUCAGCAGGGAAGAAGCGAAAGUGACGGUACCUGCAGAAGAAGCACCGGCUAACUACGUG